GAUGAACGCUGACAGAAUGCUUAACACAUGCAAGUCAACUUGAACUUCGGUUUGGGUGGCGGACGGGUGAGUAACGCGUAAAGAACUUGCCUCACAGCUAGGGACAACAUUUGGAAACGAAUGCUAAUACCUGAUAUUAUGAUUAUAUGGCAUCGUAUAAUUAUGAAAGCUAUAUGCGCUGUGAGAGAGCUUUGCGUCCCAUUAGCUAGUUGGAGAGGUAACAGCUCACCAAGGCGAUGAUGGGUAGCCGGCCUGAGAAGGUGAUCGGCCACAAGGGGACUGAGACACGGCCCUUACUCCAACGGGAGGCAGCAGUGGGGAAUAUUGGACAAUGGACCGAGAGUCUGAUCAAGCAAUUCUGUGUGCACGAUGAAGUUUUUCGGAAUGUAAAGUGCUUUCAGUUGGGAAGAAAAAAAUGACGGUACCAACAGAAGAAGUGACGGCUAAAUACGUG
This 454-nucleotide ribosomal RNA is filed under the name uncultured bacterium. RNAcentral describes it as "partial 16S ribosomal RNA". It matches the Rfam family "Bacterial small subunit ribosomal RNA", at positions 28 to 507 of the family's 1533-position model. The record is from RNAcentral.